This 71-nucleotide transfer RNA is filed under the name Ictidomys tridecemlineatus (thirteen-lined ground squirrel). RNAcentral's name for it is "Spermophilus tridecemlineatus (thirteen-lined ground squirrel) tRNA". It matches the Rfam family "tRNA". Rfam says of the family: Transfer RNA (tRNA) molecules are approximately 80 nucleotides in length. Their secondary structure includes four short double-helical elements and three loops (D, anti-codon, and T loops). Lineage: Eukaryota; Metazoa; Chordata; Mammalia; Rodentia; Sciuridae. The record is from Rfam by way of RNAcentral.
GGGGAUGUAGCUCAGUGGUAAAGCACUUGCCUGGCAUGCAUGAGUCCUUGGGUUCAAUCCCCAGAACCACA